GACGAACGCUGGCGGCGUGCUUAACACAUGCAAGUCGAACGGAAAGGCCCUGCUUUUGUGGGGUGCUCGAGUGGCGAACGGGUGAGUAACACGUGAGUAACCUGCCCUUGACUUUGGGAUAACUUCAGGAAACUGGGGCUAAUACCGGAUAGGAGCUCCUGCUGCAUGGUGGGGGUUGGAAAGUUUCGGCGGUUGGGGAUGGACUCGCGGCUUAUCAGCUUGUUGGUGGGGUAGUGGCUUACCAAGGCUUUGACGGGUAGCCGGCCUGAGAGGGUGACCGGCCACAUUGGGACUGAGAUACGGCCCAGAGUCCUACGGGAGGCAGCAGUGGGGAAUAUUGCACAAUGGGAGGAAGCCUGAUGCAGCAACGCCGCGUGCGGGAUGACGGCCUUCGGGUUGUAAACCGCAUUCGCCUGUGACGAAGCGUGAGUGACGGUAAUGGGUAAAGAAGCACCGGCUAACUACGUG
Molecule: ribosomal RNA, 468 nt
Filed under: uncultured bacterium
Lineage: Bacteria
Description: partial 16S ribosomal RNA
Rfam family: Bacterial small subunit ribosomal RNA
Source: RNAcentral